GAAUGAGUUAGUGUCUGUUUAUGAGUCCUUUGAAAUCAAACAAAAUCUUUAAGGAGUAGAUGUUUACCAAACUCACAUGUAACAACAUAUUAACAAAGCAUGGCAAGGUAAUGGGUUAAAGGAAGACCAAUGCUUUGAGAUGGCCGUCAGAGACGAUAGAGGAAAUAUGUUAUUCCAUCAGAGAUGUAACAGGUGAUGUGUACAGGUGAUAUUUCCCUGUUGCUCCAAGAAAGAGGAUUAGGGUUAGCAUACCGUUACCAUUGGAAAAGUUCCAAUUCCAGUUCAGCACUGGAAGUCAUGCCCUUAAUUCACACAAGGCAUCAUGGGGGCUAGGAAUAAAGUAGAUAGGACAACUUAAGGGCACCCUUCUGCCAUAACUUUAUCCUCUGAUAAUAUAUUUAUUUUUGCUGAACUAAAGGCAGAGGUGUUUUGUAGGACAGGCCAGUAUGCUAACAAGCCACAAAAAAAUGACCAUACCAAUACUAUAAGGACAUUUCAUGGAUUUAGGUAUACAAAAGUGUGAAAGCAUCCUCUUUGUCUUCUUUAAUUUGACUUUGUUGUAUAUUGACAAGUUUUAUAAUGUUUGUGCAUGUAAAUAGAUCCUUUCCUUUCUUUCUAUUCCCUUUUAUAUAUUCUUCCUUCCUUUAUUUUCCUUCUGUCUUUCCAUCUCUACCCCUCCCUCCUCUGAAAUAGUUAAUCAGGGGGCUCAUAUCCAACAAUAUUACUACCAUGUUCAAUAUGCUUCAGCUUACAUAACUUUAUAUCCAACAAGGACCAAAUGCGUGAAUGAAAUUAAUCUAUCGAAAAAUUUGUCCUUUUGACGCAGCACGUAUAAUCUUUAUUAGAUUGAGACGUAACAUGGUAUUGGCAGCAAUUAGACCUGGAAGGAGGCACUUCUGCAGAGGUUAAUAACUGCAGUGUGUCUGUUAUGAUAGAAAGGUUAGCUGUAUUAAUGAUGGUGGCGGUGGGCCAAGCUACAAAGACAGUCAGGGCUGCCACGCCAAGCUGAGUGCUGAGGCCAAAGUAUCCACACUGGAGACUCGGUGUGAAACUGUUCUUAUCCCACUGAGACAAAUCACAGCAGGUUUAGGAGCAAUGUCUUUAGAAAAUGUUUGCACUCGUAAUAAAUUUAGGGGCACCACCCUCCUAUAGAGGGAAGCGACUAAUCAAAUUAAUAACUCCGAAAACCAAUUAUUAUCAGUACAUCUGUCAAUAAUGAAUCAUUCUCAGUACCUGGGUUAUGAAUUCUUUAUACAAUGAUCUUAGUUUCUGCUCAAAAGAAAUAUUCACAGACAACAACUUGGCGAAAAAUGAAGAUUUAUUUAGGCUAAAUGUUUAACAACUGAGUAAAUGAGGAUGAUAUGAAAAAACACAAACUCAACAGUAUGUAUAAAUGAAUUAAGACAAGAGGUAACACUUUUGUAAGUUAUUUAGUCUGGCAAUAGUGAGAGACAGUAUGUGACUAUAGAUAAAUUGGGGAUGCAGGGACGCGCAAAACCAUUUACCGAAUGAAACCUAAAUUAAGAUCACAAUAACUAAGUCUCCUAUUCGACAUCAGCUCUUACCACAACACAGCGGCAGCAUCAGGUGCGGGGGAUUUGGCCUACUUUGAGCAGAGUUGGCUCCAGCUGACAUGUCUCCAAGGACCCCAAACUGCCGCUGGCAACUCCCGGUUUCACUUCACAAACUUCCAGCAGAUUGAUACAAACUGGAACGCAGCGGUGAGGGGUGGUGGAGCCUGAAGGCGGUGUCCUUUAGGUGGUCCUCACAUGUCGGUGAUUUUAGGCAGCGGAAAGUCUCUUGGUCGGGCAAAAGAGCCUCUGUACUGCGGACACUUUGACAAGUGGCUGGCAGCCGCUGAAUCCGAUGUGUCUUUGAUGGAGUUGCAGGUCGAAUACAAACUCUUCUAUUGGGCUAUGGCUACUCGCUUAUAAUAAGGUUGAAAACAAUCUUGUCGGCCAUUCGAUAUUAUUAUCAAAGACGUAGAAAAAAUGCUGGCUUUGUCACUUCAGGUAUAAUGUUACUGAAGGCACAGACAAAAAGAAAUAAACCUCAUCAAUUCAAUCAAUCAAUCAAUCAAUCAAUCAAUCAAUCAAUUUGAUUUAUAAAGCCCAAUAUCACAAAUCACAAUUUGCCUCACAGGGCUUUACAGCACACGACAUCCCUCUGUCCUUAGGACCCUCGCAGCGGAUAAGGAAAAACUCCCCACCAAAAAACCCUUUAACGGGGGAAAAAAACGGUAGAAACCUCAGGAAGAGCAACUGAGGAGGGAUGCCUCUUCCAGGACAGACAGACGUGCAAUAGAUGUCGUACAGAACAGAUCAACAUGAUAAAUUAACAGUAAUCCAUAUGACACAACAAGACAGAAAGAGAGACAGAGAGAGAGACAGAGACAGAGAGGAAUGCGGGAUAGAUGGUAAUGACAGUAGCUUACAACAACAAUAAUGAAAGUAAUAAUAUUAUAAUUAAUAUCACAGACUAUUUUGGUACAAUAUGUUCAAAGUAUAUAUUAAUAUCUGACAGUAUACAUAUGUGACAAUAAUCAUAUCUAUAAUAACAGUAGAAGUAUGACUAAUGAUAACAGCAGCAGCAGGAGGCAUCUAGCAGGACCACGGCAGCAGCACAACCACACACGUCACACUAUCCACACUGUAAACCCAGAUUUUGUUUCUAAUUAAACUUACGAGUGAUCAUUACUUAUUCUUUUAUGUUUAGUAAAAACCCGCUAUCAUUACUAAACAACAUUAGUUGUUUGUACUAUUUAGCUGAAUGAUUCAUUGCACUAAUCAGGUUUAGCAGAGAUAACUUGGUAUGGUUACUUUCAUAAGAAAGGGGAGGGGGCUAAUUCAAAAACCUGUCUGGUCACGUGACAAGACCAGCAUCUGGUAACGUGCGUCCAAGGGGCUCUACACCUGGCGGGACGAGCACAUGCAUCGGCAGCAGACGGUACCCUGACCAGGAAGAAACCUUACUCCAAGUGGAAUGGUUUGUAUGUAAAAUGACUAUUGUAGACUAGUUAUGUUUGUGGGAUAAUUUGUUGACGCAGCUUUUUUUCUGUCUAAUGUUACUGUUUGAACCUGUGCGUGGCGUGAAUACGUGCUUAUUCCUAACACUAGCUAAUGUCCACUCAAAAGUGUCAGCUGAAGUUAGCUUAGUGUUAACAGUCCGAGGACGCCUCACAUACCGGCGAGUUUGCUCGACUGUAUCAUUUAUAUAACCGUCAUUAUACGCAAUAGAAAAGCGAUUCAACCGCUGUCAGGGCAAAGGAGUGUAGCAGGCGCUGUGGAGGUGUUUACAUUGUGGACACCGUGAGCUGCUUGCAGCGCAUUGAUCACUCGACCCGUCCUUGGCCGCUCUCUUUUUCCCACUCACUCAUGCCGGAUUUCCACUGGAUGCGUGUCCGUUGGCAGCGCUGGUUAUCCGCUAUGUGCUCCGCCGUCCGUCAAUACCACCGGCUGUGUUUGCUGUGCGGAGUGGUGCAGCUCCGCCGGAAGACAUCUUGGUGCACUGCCAUGAUUAAUAUCCCCUCGUCCAUGGUGUUAACGGGGUGAAAUGACGUCUGAAAACCUCUGACCUGUUGACUUCAGGCCUGCCUCUGCCCAUUAUGUAGUUUUCAAGGUGUAGUGCAGGGAAAUAUGUUCCGCCGUGAACACUGUGUAUUUUAUUUUGAAAAUUAACCAGAUGUUUUAUUGUGUUUCUGUGCACGACUCCCUGCACCGCACAAUCUGCUCUGUGCUGAAUUGCUGCGUUGUGCUCCACUCUCACACACGCUUCAUGCCGGUUUUCUCUGUAACACAGGCGUCGUUUUGGUUCUAUCACCUUAUUGUAUUUAACAGUGACAUUGUUGAGCUGAGUUGUUGAGCUAAACGUUUUCUUGUUUUCUAUUUUUACAGAUCCUUGUGGUGUGAGGAUGCUGUGGAAGUGUAAGUAUUGUGAGUUUAUGUGUGAGAAAAGGGGUUACCUUUUAAAACAUUAUCGGUUAAAACAAGGAAACUAUGGUAGAACUGUCCCAUUUCCCUGCUUACACCAAGAAUGUGUGUGCACAUUCAACUCCAUUAAUGCACUUAAGGUCCACUUAGCAAAGAUUCACCAGAAAACCCAGGAUGCACAACUGAGUGAAACUGCCCAAGUAACCUUUCACUGUCAUUCAUUCAUUCAUUCAUUCAUUCAUUCAUUCAUCUUCUAACCGCUUCAUCCUCUUGAGGGUCGCGGGGGGGCUGGAGCCUAUCCCAGCUGACAUCGGGCGAGAGGCAGGGUACACCCUGGACAGGUCGCCAGACUAUCGCAGGGCUCUUUCACUAAGUAAGGAGCACAGAACACACAACUGGAGGAUGUUCAGGCCAGAAAUAGUCUCUAGUGGUGGAACUAAUGAAAUGGCACCAAGAAGAACAUGAGCCUCCAAAUGACACCCCUGAAUCAGAAGACAGUGAGGAUUCUAUCAAUGAAGAUCUUCAUGAUCUAGAGAAACAGCUGGAGCACAACCUAGCAGCUCUUUUUUUAAAGAUGCAAACGGUCCUACACAUUCCAGAAAGUACGGUACAAGAAGUCAUACAACAGCUGUUACAGAUGUGUGAACUAUCCAAGCCACUGCUGCAUAAUGCACUCAAGGACAUUCUGAAACAACAUACAGAUGUAGAUGAUUCAGUUGUGGAAGAGUUAGUCAGGGCUGCCACAAAGAGCAAUGUGAUCCUGAAAUUCUGUGGCAAGGAUGGCCCCUUAUCAGCAACAAAAAGGAGAGCAGCAUAUGUGAAUAAAAACUUCACAGAGGUUAAACCAGUGGAGUACAUUAUUGAAAGAGGAAAAAAAUCUAGUGCUGUAUAUGUUCCUUUGCAUCCAAUGCUACAGAAGAUGUUGAAUAGGGCGGAUAUUUUGGCCAAAGCUCUUCCUGUCCAAAAGCAUGUGCGACAUGAGUACAGUUCAUACAGAGAUGGCUUGUACUGUAAUGACAAUGACCUCCUUAAAGGGGAGGAAUUCAAAAUCGCUGUUGGACUUUAUACAGAUGAUUCUGAAGUGUCCAAUCCUUUAGGAACAUCUAGAAAGAAACACAAAAUGAGUGCAGUCUAUUGGGUGAUAGCUAAUAUACCAUCAAAAUACAGAUCCACACUCCACUCCAUUCAGCUUGCUGUUUUGUGUAAAGCCUCUUAUGUAAAAGAAUUUGGCUACGCUAAAAUUCUCCGCCCUCUCAUUCACGAUCUGGCUUCUUUGGAGCAACAUGGUGUAUAUGUUGAGAAGUUGGGAGAAUGUGUCAAAGGUAUGGUUUUAUAUGUGGCUGCUGAUAACCUGGCUGCUCAUUCUCUGGCAGGACUCUUCGAAAGCUUUAUGGUAGACAGAUUCUGCAGGUUCUAUAUGGCGACGAGAGGCGAGAUGCAAGCCAAGGAGGUAAAUUCAAGUGCUUUUGAACCCCGCACUAUAGACACUCACAACCAGCAGGUGCAGGAGGUAAAGCAGGAUCCCACUGUGGCAAAACAGUAUGGUGUGAAAGGAGGGUGUGUAUUGACUGACGGUCUGGAGCACUUUCAUGUUGUUCGUGGGUACCCCCCUGACAUCCUCCAUGACCUUUUGGAAGGCAUUGUUCCUGUUGAGUUAUCCCUCUGCAUUUCAGACAUGAUUUCUAAGAAAUAUUUCACCGUAGAAACACUGAACCAUGCCAUGAAAACCUUUGAAUAUGCUUUUCAUGACAAAACUGACCAGCCUCAGCCAAUUGCCCAGGGCUUCUCUACCAAAGGGACCAUAGGUGGCAAUGGUCAUGAGAACUGGGCCCUACUCAGGCUGCUCCCAUUUAUCAUCGGCCAUAAAGUCCCUGAAGGAGACAAUGCAUGGAACAUUCUGCUGCUCCUAAAAGACAUUGUUGAGUUGGCUGUCGCAACACAGCACACUGAAGAGUCGGUACAUUUCCUUGACUGCAAAGUGUCAGAACAUAGAGACUUGUUGCAAACAACAUUCCCAGAUUUUAGAUUACGGCCAAAACACCACUACAUUGAGCAUUACCCUGAGAUGAUCAAAGCAUUUGGUCCCCUUUCAGAUGUUUGGACAAUGCUGUGCAAUGUUAAGCAUCAGAAAAUGAUGGCUUACUAUUUGGACACAAGUUCAUUUUUCAAGCCUUCAAUUGAAAUGGACAAGGUCACUACAGCAUCGAUCACAUCUUAUCCUGAGAAUGUCCAACAGGUUUUCUGCCAGAGAGUUCCUCAGCUUACAUCAGUUCUUGUUGCAUCAUCAGUCUAUGUAGAUGGAAUUAGAUAUUGUGCUGACAUGAUAGUCUCUGUUGGUUCAUGUGCUGGCCUCCCUUCAUUUAGGCAGAUCAAACAGAUAGUGGCACUUAACACUGAGAUCCUGUUUGUUUGCAAUGAGAUGACUGCAUGGUACCAUGAGCAUUUGAGAUCUUUCGAACUCAUCUGUGACAGCAGUAACCCCUCUCUGUGUGUGGUGCAGCUGAAAGAGCUGAAUGAUGUUUUCCCUCUUUCAGCAUACAGAUAAAUUUAGUAGUGACCCUCAGGCGUUAUAUUCUGUGUUAAGAAGCCACAGUGUGAUUUCUUCAAUAAAUCUAGGCUUCAGUAGAACAUUUUGUAGCUUAUUUUAGAGCUCAUGUUGAAAUUUAUAAUGAUACAGUCUGAGAAGUUUUUUUUUCUUUUUUCCUAAAUUUGUGACUUUUUUGUAAAUGUUUUUCUUGUACGUUUGAGUGGGGAUUUCUUGUGAAUUUGAAUUUUUUUUUAAUGGAUUUACCACUUUAAUCUCAGGGGAGAGUCACAUUUUUCUCUUUUAAAUCUGUGACACAUUCAAUGCCCACACACACAAACAACACAGACACAUUCAACGGCCACACACACAACACAGACACGGACAACACCAACACGCACAACACACACACACAGCACAGACACGGACAACACUAACACACACAACACACACACACAACACAGACAUGGACAACACCAACACUCACAACACACACAAACAACACAGACACGGACAACACCAACACACAAAACACACACACACACACCACAGACACGGAUGACACCAACACACAAAACACACACACAACACAGACACGGACAACACCAACACUCACAACACACACCAACAACACAGACAUGGACACCACCCACACACCAACAAACACACCCAGCUUUUAAUGGAUUUACAACUUUAUUCUCAAGGGACAUCCGUAAAUUUGUUAGUGGGAUUUUUGAGAAUUCCCAAGUUUUUUUUUCUCAGAAUAGUGCUCAUAGUUUGGUUCAUAAAAUGGUGACAAGUGUUUAUCAAAGCCCAGUGUAACAUUCUCAAAUAUUUUGACUUGAAAUCAUCACCCAAUUAUGAAAAUAGUUGGAGAUUAGUAACUUAAUCUAUUCAUCGUUGCAGCUUUCUUAUUACAUAGAUGUGUAAAACUAUUUCUUGAUGAUAUGUGUAUUUCUAAUGACCUAAUUAUUGUUUCUAUUCCCAAGAUGACUGCAAACCAGAAGAUGACCUUGAGGGUCAUUCUAACAGAGGCAGAUAUAAGAAAAGUCAUCCUAACUACAAGGCCCUCUACAGUCGAAGAUUUGAUAAGCAAGCUUAAAGAAUCACUGGGACGGGGCGUCGGUAGUGUAGUGGAUAGUGCAGGUGCCCCAUGUACAGAGGCAUUGCCUCGCUGCAGCGGCCGCGGGUUCAAAUCCGGCUUGCAGCCCUUUGCUGCAUGUCAGUCCCCACUCUCUCUCUGUCUCCCCAUUUCACCUUCUGUCCUGUCAAUAAAGGCAAAAAGCCAAUAAAAAUAAUCUUUAAAAAGACUCACUGGGACUUCAUUAUAACUUCAGUCUCCAAUACCAAGACCCUGAAUUCAAUAAUGAACUAUGCAAUCUGACAGAUACUGAAGAACUUCCUGAAAAAACAACAGUUAAAGUCAUGCCUGUCCUUGAGCUGGUACCUGUCUCAUCUGAUGAAGUCUUCAGUGACACACUCAGUACAGCAGAUACGGACAUACUCUCACACUCAUCUCAGGAGCGACAGAAACAGUGGCCAGAAUUUUUUGAUAUCCCAACCUUUUCUGUUGAUGUAGAGUAUAGACUUAGGCAGGCAGAUCUGCUGUUUAUGAGUGAGAGUACAUACCUUAAAGUAUCAAAAGAACUAAAACAUGAUUGGCAGAGAGCAUGUAUAGCUACACAGCAUACCCAACUGCUGCUCAGUUCGAAAGUGUUGCGGCAGCACUGAUAAGCAAGCACCCUUGUCUCCAGGAGCGAGGCUCAACCACUCGCUGUUGUGGUUGGAAAAAUAGUCUAAAGCAUAAAAUGGCUAAUUAUAGAACAAAGCGUAGGCAAUCAGGAUGCCUUGAUGUUGCAGUAAAUGCAGGUAAGCGGGGAAGGCAUUCAGCAGGACAACCAGCUAACAAGCGCAUCAAGAAGGCAAACAAAGGUGAAAUCAACUACUUGCCCAACUUUCUGGAUGGAUUUGAUCAGGCAGCCCUGGAGGGGGCCUGCAAAGACUUGGUUGAUGAAAUGCAGAAGAGAACACCAAAUGGACCUCUUGUGAAACAGAAGAUGGAUCAGACGUUUGCUUUGAGAAGAAAACAGGUAGUGGAGUUGGAACCUGCCAUAAGCACGAUGGUGAAACGCUGGCCUGCCCUUUUCACUGAAGAUCAAGUAUGUUUAAGAAAGAAAAGAUAACAAAUAACUAUUUUCUAUUAUUAUAUAAUGUGUCUAGAUGUAUAUUUCUCUUGUCCUCUUUAAGGAAAACAUUGGUAUUUUUAAUUUGGGGCAUGAUGUUUUUCAUUUAAACAUCAACAUUUCAAAUAAUAUUAAAAGGACAUUCAUGGAUGUUUUUCAGCAUUACCUUGCAGAUGGCUUAGCUGCCUUGUAUAGUUCAGUUGAUCUAAGUUCAGUUUUUGUUUUUUUUUUGUUCUCUGUAUUUUUCAGAUGUUCAUGGAGUUCAGCAGGAUUGUGGGCAAGAACCUCAAGCAGGAAUUCUAUGAGAGCAUCGAUCGGCACAGUCCUCGUCUCCUCGAGUUAUUUCAAUCCAAGAGAGGGAAUGUUGGACAGUUGUUGAGACAGAUUUCACUACAGACCGAUACUACAGAGCCAACUGCGAUCCGGACACAGGUGCUCAGAGGGCUUCCUAUCAUCCUUGGGGACAACCCCACAAACUUCUUCAAAGUAGGCUUUGAAUCUGAUGAUGAUGAUUCUUUUCGUGACCUUGACAUUGGGAUACUUCUCGUUGAGCGUGAAGGUGCUGUGCUCACAUCUUCCCAGCAUCUCAGUCCAGCCUCGUUGAAAAUUAUCAUUGAGGGAGAAGUCGUGAUGGACAACAUUCAAGAUCUGCCAAAAGCAAUGUGCAUUCUGUUUGGACUCACAUAUGCACUCCAUCUUAACUACCCCAAGACUAUGAAGCUCACAUUUCAGUUCAUCCAACAGGUAUUGCUCUCGUUAGGCCACACUGACCUAAAGCCGAAGCUACAGACUUUGAAAAAUCAGCUCGCAAUGUAAAGAGAUGUCAAGUCUACUGUAAGAAGCAGUUGACUAAUUUUUUACUUUCUGACCUGUGGGGUAAACGUUUUUAUUUUCUGUAAAACAAAGGGACGAACAGACAUACGUAAAACGCAGACACACACAUGUACACACACAACAGACACAUUCAACACCCAUACACAAUAUACACAAACAACACAGACACAUACAACACUCACAACACACAAACAACACUGACACACAUACACACCUACACACACUGUGCUGUAGAAAGCAUGCUGAAAGAUGUGACUUGUGUGAAAAUUAAAACUGAGAGUAGCAGAAAGAUAGUUCUUCAUCAGUCUAUGCAGAUGGAAUUAGAUAUUGUUCUGAUAUGAUAGUCUGUUGGUUUAUGCUCUGGCCUCCCUUCAUUUAGGCAGAUGAAACAGAUCCUGUUUGUUUGCAGUUUCUUGUACAUUUGAGUGGGGGUUUCUUGUGAAUUGUGUUUUGUUUAUGGAUUUACCACUUUUAUCUCAGGGGACAUCUAUGUUUUUUUCUUGUAAAUUUGUGAUACAUUCAACACCCACACACACAACACAGACAAACAACACAGACACGGACAACACCCACACACACAACACAGACACAUACAACACCCACACACACAACACAAACACAUACAAUACCCACACACACAACACAGACACGGACAACACCCACACACACAAACAACACAGACAUGUACAACACACACAACACACACAAACACAUACAACGCCCACACACAUAAUUGUUUCAGUGAUUUGAAAUGACCUUUUUCAGAUGGAUCAUUUCAGGUUGUUGAUGCUGA
RNA transcript from Epinephelus fuscoguttatus (brown-marbled grouper), 10263 nucleotides. It is a transcript of the gene named sterile alpha motif domain-containing protein 3-like, with no coding region annotated. The record is from RefSeq and is a predicted model, not a curated record. Lineage: Eukaryota; Metazoa; Chordata; Actinopteri; Perciformes; Serranidae. The transcript is spliced from 4 exons.